UACGUAGGGCGCAAGCGUUGUCCGGAAUUAUUGGGCGUAAAGAGCUCGUAGGCGGCUUGGCAAGUCGGGUGUGAAAACUCCAGGCUCAACCUGGAGAUGCCACUCGAGACUGCUAUGGCUAGAGUCCGGUAGGGGACCACGGAAUUCCUGGUGUAGCGGUGAAAUGCGCAGAUAUCAGGAGGAACACCGGUGGCGAAGGCGGUGGUCUGGGCCGGCACUGACGCUGAGGAGCGAAAGCGUGGGGAGCGAACAGG
This 254-nucleotide ribosomal RNA is filed under the name uncultured bacterium. RNAcentral's name for it is "partial 16S ribosomal RNA". It matches the Rfam family "Bacterial small subunit ribosomal RNA", at positions 524 to 776 of the family's 1533-position model. The record is from RNAcentral.